UACGGGGGGGGGCAAGCGUUGUUCGGAAUUACUGGGCGUAAAGGGCUCGUAGGCGGCCAACUAAGUCGGACGUGAAAUCCCCAGGCUCAACCUGGGAACUGCGUCCGAUACUGGAUGGCUUGAGGUUGGGAGAGGGAUGCGGAAUUCCAGGUGUAGCGGUGAAAUGCGCAGAUAUCAGGAGGAACACCGGUGGCGAAGGCGGGUCUCUGGGCAAUAACUGACGCUGAGGAGCGAAAGCGUGGGGAGCGAACAGG
This 254-nucleotide ribosomal RNA is filed under the name uncultured bacterium. RNAcentral's name for it is "partial 16S ribosomal RNA". It matches the Rfam family "Bacterial small subunit ribosomal RNA", at positions 524 to 776 of the family's 1533-position model. The record is from RNAcentral.